GAUGAAGAACGUAGUGAAAUGCGAUAAGUAAUGUGAAUUGCAGAAUUCAGUGAAUCAUCGAAUCUUUGAACGCACAUUGCGCCCGCCAGUAUUCUGGCGGGCAUGCCUGUUCGAGCGUCAUUUCAACCCUCAAGCCCCCGGGCUUGGUGUUGGGGAUCGGCGUGCCCUCGCGGCGCGCCGUCCCCUAAAUCUAGUGGCGGUCUCGCUGUAGCUUCCUCUGCGUAGUAGCAACACUCGCACUGGAUCGCAGCGCGGCCACGCCGUUAAACCCCCCACUUCUGAAAGUUUGACCUCGGAUCAGGUAGGAAUACCCGCUGAACUUAAGCAUAUCAUAAGCGGAGGA
RNAcentral lists this unclassified non-coding RNA (343 nucleotides) under soil metagenome. Its description in RNAcentral is "partial contains 5.8S ribosomal RNA, internal transcribed spacer 2, and large subunit ribosomal RNA". The stretch from base 1 to 120 matches the Rfam family "5.8S ribosomal RNA", at positions 35 to 154 of the family's 154-position model. The record is from RNAcentral.